CCCAAUUUUAGAAAAUGAAAGCUCAGGGAGGGAAGGCUCUAGUUUGGCUUCGGUUAUAGAGGUGAAUGGCCAAUAGUAGACUUUGAUGAAAUUUGAACCCAAAACGUCAUUCGAUGAUUUCGUUUGUUGAAAAUCAAAAUUCAAAUAUUCGCUUGGGGGUUGAUAAGGUCGUAGAUUUGUCAAUUGUAUCAACUAAGUUGUUUAAUGGGAUAGAUUAUCUGAAAUUAAGGGAUUCUAAACGGGUUAGAAAAUUUUCAAUUUCUACUUUUACUAAGAAUAAAUGCAGCAAAUUUAAAUGGAAGGCUUCAGUUCGUAUGCUUAUUUCAGAUGCGAUGAGUAUGAUUGUGGAGAGACUUAAUUCUAAAGAGGCUUGCCAUGAAUCUAUCUAGGUGCAGGGAGAUGUCUCGGGGAUGGUAGAGGCACUGUCUAUUCCUCUUAAGAAAAAGUGGAGGUGUGGGCUUGACAUCGCAGGUAACCUUGUCUCUUUGAUGGAGGGCUUCAAAAGGUAGAACUCUGAGAUUUUUGGUCACAUUGGUCAGAAGAAAAGGCUUCUAGCACAUCGUAUCAAUAAGGUACAGGCUGCCUUAGAUCGAAAGUGCUCAAGUUUCUUGUUGAACCUAAAACUUAAUUUGUUUAUUGAGUAUGAAAAAGUUCUCAAUGAAGAAGAAAGUCUAUAGAGACAAAAGUCAAGAGUGGAUUGGAUCUAUUUUGGGGAUAACAGUAAUGCAAUCUGAAGGCAUAAUUUCAACAGGAUUUCAACAUUAAAAGUUGGAGAUUCUUGGUGUUCUGAUGAUGAGGUCUUCCAAAAGGAAACAAUUCAUUACUUUUUCUCCCUUUUCUCAUUGGAUGAUCAAGUUCAUUUCUUGUUUUCAUUGCAUGGUCGUUUUCUGAUUCUGGAUUAAAGCUCUUUCAAUUUUUUAGCCAUGAAUGUCACAUAUGAGGAAAUUCGCAGUGCCCUCUUUAGUAUGGGUCUUUGAAGGCCUCAAGGCCAGAUGGGUUUCAUGCAUUAUUCUACCAAAAUCAAUGGAAAACAAUUGGUUCGGAUGUCUGUAAUUGGGUUUGGAAUGUUUUUUCAAGGCUUUCUCUUGAUCCUUCGAUUAAUAAGACAUUGGUUCUUAUCCCAAAAAAUCGUCCAGAAUCCUUGUCCCAAUAUAGGCCAAUUAGUCUCUACAACGUCCUGUACAAGAUUGUUACAAAUGUAAUUGCCAAUCGUUUCAAACCUAUAUUUCCAUCUCUUAUUGCUCAAAGCCAAGUAAUUUUCAUAGAAGGAAGAUAAAUAACAAAAAAUAUUAUCAUUUCCCAAGAGAUAAUUCACUCUAUGUGAAUUAAGAGAGGUAAGAAGAGUUGGAUGGCUAUUAAGGUAGACCUCGAGAAAGCCUAUGAUAGGAUUCGUUGAGACUUCAUUGAAGACACUUUAUUGGAUGUGGGUGUUCCUUUAUUAUUAUCUAAUGUUUAUCAUGGAAUGUGUUUCUACUGUGUCCAUACAGAUCAUGUGGAAUGAUAACUCCUUAGAAGUGUUCCAACCAAUGAGGGGUAUCUGACAAGGUUGCCCACUUUCUUCGUACAUUUUCAUUUUGUGUAUGGAAAGAUUGGGGCAGCUUAUCGAUAAAUAAGUUGAGGAAAAUUCGUGAAAACCCUUUCCUCUUGGAAAGAAUGGACCGUCAGUGUCAUCUAUUUUUCACUUAUGAUCCCUUCUUAUUUACUGAGGUGGAUGUGGAUCAGGCUAUAAGAAUUGGGGAUGUUCUCAGGCUAUUUGGAGCUGCUUCAGGGCAUAAAGUUAAUGGGCCAAAAACUAAAAUAUUUUUUUGGAAAAUACUAAAGCCAACACUUUUGCUGAAAUUUGUAGUAUAUUAGGGUUUAGUAUUAGUGAGGAUUUCAGGUUUUAUUUGGAUAUGUCGUUCCAUCUACAUGUUACAAUGAGUACCUUCAAGUUUAUUGUUGAUAAGGUUCUGCGGAAGCUAGAUAGCUAGGAUGCCAAGCUACUUUCAAUGGCAAGUCGAGUCACACUGGCAAGGUCUGUCUUGUUAUCAAUCCCUAAUUAUUUCAUGCAGUCUAUUAAGAUCCCUAUUUCUGUUUGUAAAGAGAUUGAAAAGAUUACUUGGAGGUUCAUUUGGGGGAGAUCCACUAUAAGUCAAAAACCAUCUUUAGUUAAAUGGGUUGACUGUUGCCAACCACUUUUUAAUGGAGGUUUAGGUCUCAAGUCUUAUAGAUCAAAAUUAUUCUUUUCUUCUUAAGUUGGGGUUCAAUUUCCUCUCUAAUAGACAAGCCUUAUGGGUUCUCUUCCUUCGAGUUAAAUAUAAGAUAGUUGAUGAUUUUCGGUAGAUAUUUUGAGGAAUUGCUGCUAUUUUCUUCGAAGAUCGCUUGCAAAGAUUUGGCCUCUCUUGCGCUAAUGUAUUGCAUGGUCUGUGGGAUAUGGUAAUCGUAUCAAAUUCUGGACUGAUAAUUGGGUCGUUGGGUUUGGACCUCUGAUUAAUUAUUGCCAUAACACCAUGGUGACAGUCUCUAAGAAGCUUCUUAGAUGACAACAUUCUAUCUAAUAUUGCAGGUAUUCCAGUUUCGAAACACCUAGUAGGUCUGGGUACUCUGAUUUCACAAUGGUCUUCCAAUGGGAGCUUCACAGUCAAAACAACCUACAAUUAUCUUAAGAAAGAUGCCUUGAAUCCUUCGGAUGAUAGUUGGAAACUCGUGUGGCUCUUUGCAGAGCCACAACGUAUUCGACAAUUCUUUGGCUGGUUUUCAAGGAAUGCUUAUUAACUAAUGCAGAACGAUGCAGAAGAGUCAAACAAUUCUUCAUGUAAGCUUUGCAGAUGUGUGGAUGAGUCUAUCAUUCAUACCUUAAGGGGUUGUUGUAAGGCAAGAGAUGUUUAGAAACAGGUCAUUCUUUCGAGUUUAUUGCAUCGAUUUUUCUUUUACUCGUUAAAGGACUAGUUAACAGUCAACUUGAGAAAUGAGUUUGCUUUAGUUUUUCAGGAGUUUGAUUGGAGGUCUCUGUUUGGUAUCCUCUGCUAGAAUAUUUGGAAACAGAGAUGUUUGUGUGCGUUCCAAGAUGUUUCGUUUAGUAAAGAUCACAUCAUUCAUUCCUCUUGGAGUUGGGCAAAAUCUCUCAAGUUUUUAUCUAGCAGACCCGCUGAAAGUACCAGGAGACAAAAUAGGAAUCAUAAGUGGAGUCCACCUCCUUCAGGUUCCAUUAAAUUGAUUAUUGAUGGUGCCCGUAAUCUAGUUUCAGGUUUAGCUGCAUUGGCAGCAAUGGCGAGAGAUGAAUAUGGCAAUUGGGUGUGUAGGGUAGGUACAAAUAUCGACAGGUGUAGUGUGGAGUAAGUGAAGCUUUGGGCAAUUUAUGAUGGUCUUAUUAUGGCAUGUGAUGCUAAAUGGAGAGAUGUUGUUGAAACGAAUUGUGCACUUUCUAUUAAAAGGAUCAGUGGUGAUUCUAAGAAUUCAGGAGUUAUGCAGCCAAGAUUGGAGUGUUGUCUUUGAGCAAAUCCCAAGGGAGGUGAAUUUUGCCGCUCACUCAUUGACUGGAAUGAUGAAGGAUUUCCCAGUUGGCGCCCAGAUAUUCCAUAGUAGUCCGUCACUAGUUAAGGAUGGAUAGCAUGUCUCUGCUUUCGACUCUCGCUAUAUCCUGCUAGUUUAAUAAUUCAUUUUCUUGUAACCAAAAAAAAAGAAGAGUUGACAACCGUAAGUGUUAAGGUGCUCUUGAAAAAACGUAUUAAGAGAAACAACUUUACUAAAA
Molecule: long non-coding RNA, 3730 nt
Organism: Gossypium raimondii (Peruvian cotton)
Lineage: Eukaryota; Viridiplantae; Streptophyta; Magnoliopsida; Malvales; Malvaceae
Exons: 2
Source: RefSeq, a predicted model, not a curated record